GUCUGGUUAAUUCCGAUAACGAACGAGACUCUGGCUUGCUAAAUAGUCGCGCCGGCCGCCGCGCCGGGCGCUGACUUCUUAGAGGGACAAGUGGCGUUCAGCCACGCGAGAUUGAGCAAUAACAGGUCUGUGAUGCCCUUAGAUGUCCGGGGCCGCACGCGCGCUACACUGAAGGGGUCAGCGGGUCCCGUGCCUUGGCCGGAAGGUCUGGGCAAUCCGUUGAACCCCCUUCGUGCUUGGGAUAGGGAGUUGCAAUUGUCUCCCUUAAACGAGGAAUUCCCAGUAAGCGCGAGUCAUCAGCUCGCGU
This 307-nucleotide ribosomal RNA is filed under the name Perknaster fuscus. RNAcentral's name for it is "SSU rRNA". It matches the Rfam family "Eukaryotic small subunit ribosomal RNA", at positions 1313 to 1641 of the family's 1831-position model. Lineage: Eukaryota; Metazoa; Echinodermata; Asteroidea; Valvatida; Ganeriidae. The record is from RNAcentral.